GAGAUUGUUGCUACAACGAGCCA
This 23-nucleotide small nuclear RNA is filed under the name Arabidopsis thaliana (thale cress). RNAcentral's name for it is "snRNA_14168". Lineage: Eukaryota; Viridiplantae; Streptophyta; Magnoliopsida; Brassicales; Brassicaceae. The record is from RNAcentral.